Stegodyphus mimosarum is the source of this 73-nucleotide non-coding RNA. Lineage: Eukaryota; Metazoa; Arthropoda; Arachnida; Araneae; Eresidae. The record is from Rfam.
GCCUUCUUUGUGUAGUGGUCAGCACGCUCGACGCGUAACCGAGAGGUCCGUGGUUCGAUUCCCGGCGAAGGCU